RNAcentral lists this long non-coding RNA (21953 nucleotides) under Hordeum vulgare. RNAcentral's name for it is "long non-coding RNA (HVUL_LNC015015)". The record is from RNAcentral. Lineage: Eukaryota; Viridiplantae; Streptophyta; Magnoliopsida; Poales; Poaceae.
AGAGGGGAGAGCCAGUGGUGGCUUACCUGCUACACAUACGCAAAGAAGGGGAGGUACACGAGCCGCAUCAUCUCCUCCAACACCGCAUGGAUCCAAUGGAUAUGCCUGCAGCACGAACAUGAAAAGAGGAACAUGGCGUGAGGAGAACGAAAUGAAUCCUAGGGAGAGGAGGGAUGGGAGUGAGGAGGCACCUUGAUCCGUGGAGAGGAAAAUAAGCACACGCUCCAUCACAGAUCCGUGGAGAGGAGACGUCCGUCGCCGGCAUCCAUCGCCGGCCCACCGGGCCCUCCGACCGCAAACUGCUCUCAUAGGAGCUCCUUGACGAACAACUCCAUGGCGUGGGUCUCCUCCCUCCAUGUUAUGGGUCUCUAGAUGCAGAUCCUGUCCCGUCACGGAUCUAGCCGCCGCCAUGGCCUGCCUUCUGGAUCCGCGUCUCCUCGCCUCUGUUGAUGACCGUAUGCAAACCACACCAUCGAGGUAGGUCUGCCGCCACCCCGUUUGGGUGCGCGCCAGGACGGAUGCCUCACCGGCGUCGAGGUGGCAUUAGAAGGCGCCGAAGUGGGGACGAUGGUGGCUGGAACAUGUGGAUUGGGAUUGGACGGGGUGAUUGGGAGAGAUGGAGGCGGCUGCAGUAACUUGCUAGGGUUUCGGCAUAGAGGCACCCGGGUGUGGGCUUGUGGAAUUAUGGGCUGGCACUAAAAAUUUGGUCUCCCCGCGUAUGUUACACAAAAUUUUCCUUCUCCGCGCAUUGCAUCAGCUAGUUUUGGACUUUAUUUUUUUGCCCGUUGGUGGCUGCCAGUGGGCCCUAUUUCAGCUUCCUAUGAGAGCAGUUCGUUGUGAUUGAAAUUAUGAAACGUUCACAUAUUUUGACUAAUAUAUGAUGCCUUCCAAUAAUUUCAUCAUUAAUCUAUCAUGGAUUAACAGUAUUUUUUAGUGAGACCAUGGCAUAUGUCCUAAACAAACAGCCAGAGACGUGAAACGCGCGUCAAAGAAGCAAUUUGAGAGUGGUGGAUGCACAGGGGGCAUAUUUGAGAUGACCGUGGCGAGGGAAGGUAGCGGCAGUUGGAGUAUGUUGAUUGAGUGGCGGCCGGAGUUUGCCCUCGAUUUUUUUAUCGCUCUUUAAUCUCUCGUAACCUCGAAAGCUCAUUGUGCGCCCUAGAUUUGUGUUGUCCAAGGGAGGUAGAAUUGGAAAAGACCAAAAUUGACGCUCAUCUCUCGAGUGGGGAGGCGCUACCUCCAAGGCUUUAUCGUGGGUGAGCCCUACAUGCUAGCACGCCCCGCAUGUCGGUUGGCCACAAUGUCAUAUCUUGGUCCUUCCAAAGACAAUUGGAUUCCUCAUACGGAUAGGUUAAUUUGACAAGUAUGUGCAACACAUAGACAACAUUACUGCACACAUGCAUGACAUAUGUGAAAUUAUAGAGUUGUUUGUCCAAUCACCCUUAUUCAAGCCUAUGACCUUAUUAAUUUGGUCAGGUUGGACCCAAAAUAAGGCCAUGGAUAGUGUUAUAUGAUUUAUGACCUAUUGACAUAGAUAAUACUUUGACCUUUUUAACAGAAAUGGUCACAAGGGUGUACAGUUUGGACCCCCUUGGAUACCGCAUGACCAUUUGAUAUUUUUUGGUCAUAGAUCUAUGACCAAUUGAGCACGGUCAAUAUAUUUCUGUCAUAAACGGGCAUUUUUCUUGUAGUGACCUCUAUGUCAAGGAUUCAGUUAAUCCCAUAUAUCAUUCCCUUUGCCCUUCGGUAUGUUACUUGCCCAAGAUUCGAUCAUCGGUAUCUCCAUGCCUAUUUCAAUAUCGUUACCGACAAAUCUCUUUACUCGUUCCGUAUUACAAGAUCCCGUGGCUAAGUCUUUAGUCACAUUGCUUGCAAGGAUUGUUUGUGAUGUUGUAUUACCGAGUGGGUCCCGAGAUACCUCCCCAUCAUACGGAGUGACAAAUCCCACUCUUGAUCCAUGGUAACUGAAUGGACACCUUCGGAGAUACCUGUAGAGCACCUUUAUAGCCACUCGGUUACGUUGCGAUGUUUGAUACACACGAGGCAUUCCUUCGGUGUCAGUGACUUACAUGAUCUCAUGGUCAUAGGAAUGUAUACUUGACAUGAAGAAAACAAUAGCAACAAAAUAAUACGAUCACAUGCUACAUUUAUAGUUUGGGUCUUGUGCAUCAUAUCAUUCUCCUAGUUAUGUGAUCCCGUUAUCAUGUGACAACACUUGUAUAUGGCUAGGAAACCUUAACCAUUUUUAAUCAACGAGCUAGUCAACUAGAGGCUCACUUGGGACAUUGUUUUUGCUAUAUAUCCACACAUGUAUUUGUGUUUCCAUUCAAUACAAUUCUAGCAUGGAUAAUAAACGAUUAUCUUGAAACAGAAAAUAUAAUAACUGUUUUAUUAUUGCAUCUAGGGCAUAUUUCCAAUAGUCUCCCACUUGCACUAGAGUCAAUAUUCUAGCUUCACAUCUCUAUGUGAUUUACAAUGUAACGAAUCUAACACCCAUACAGUUCUGGUGUUGAUCAUGUUUUGCUCGUGGAAGAGGCUUAGUCAGCGGAUCUGCAACAUUCAGAUUUGUGUGCACUUUGCAAAUAUUUAUCUCAUCCUCCUUGAUGUAAUCGCGGAUGGCAUUGAAGCGUCGCUUUAUGUGUCUGGUCCUCUUGUGAAACCUUGGUUCCUUGGUUGGAGCAAUGGCACCAGUGUUGUCACAGAAAAGACUUAUUGGAUCCAGUGCACUUGGCACAACUCCAACAUCUAUCAUGAACUGCUUCAUCUAGACACCCUCCUUAACCGCCUCCGAGGCAGCUAUGUACUCCGCUUCGUAUGUAGAAUCAACUACAACCUUUGCUUGGAACUGCACCAGCUUACCGCACCCUAUUAAGAAUAAAUACAUAUCCUGUUUGUGACUUAGAGUCAUCCAGAUCAGUGUCGAAGCUUGCAUCGACGUAACCCUUUAUGACGAGCUCUUCGCCACCUCCAUAAAUGAGAAACAUUUCCUUAGUCCUUUUCAGGUACUUCAAAAUAUUCUUGACCGUUGUCCAGUGCUUCAUUCUUGGAUUACUUUGAAACUUGCCUGCCAUACAUUAUGGCAAGGUUGACAUCCUGUGUAGUGCACAACAUCACAUACAUGAUAGACCCUAUGGAUGAAGCAUAGGGGACGACACUCAUUGUUUCUCUAUCUUCUGCAGUCACUGGGCAUUGAGUCUUACUCAAUUCUAUACCUUGUAACACAGGCAAGAACCUCUUCUUGGAUUGUUCCAUUUUGAACUUCUUCAAAAUCUUAUCAAGGUGUGUGCUUUGUGAAAGUCCUAUUAGGCGUCUUGAUCUAUCUCUAUAGAUCUUAAUGCCUAAUAUUUAAGCAGCCUCUCCCAGGUACUUCAUCGAUUUUUUUAUUCAAGUAAUCUUUUAUGCUUCCCAAAAGUUUUACAUUGCUUCCAAUUAGCAAUAUGCCAUCCACAUAUAAUAUUAGAAACGCUAUAGAGCUCCCACUCACUUUCAAGUAAAUACAAGCUUCUCCAAAAACUUGUAUAAACCCGAACGCCUUGAUAGCCUCAUCAAAGUGUUGAUUCCAACUCUGAGAGGUUUGCACCGGUCCAUAAAUGGAUCGCUGGAGCUUGCAUUCUCUGGAUCGACAAAACCUUCCGGUUGCAUCAUAUACAACUCUUCCUUAAGAAACUCGUUAAGGAACGUUGUCUUGACAUCCAUCUGCCAAAUUUCAUAAUCGAAAAAUGCAGCUAUUGCUAACAUGAUUCUGAUGGACUUAAGCAUCUCUACUAUUGAGAAAGUCUCAUCGUAGUAAACUCCUUGAACUUGUGAAAAACCCUUUGCCACAAGUCGAGCUUUAUAGACGGUUACAUUACCGUUCGCGUCCGUCUUCUUCUUAAAGAUCCAUUUGUUCAAAAUGGCCUUUCGGCCUUCAUGUAAUACUUCCAAAGUCCAUACUUUGUUUUCAUACAUAUAUCCUAUCUUAGAUUUCAUGGCCUCUAACGAUUUGUUGGAAUCCGGGCCCACCAUUGCUUCUCCAUAGCUCACAGGUUCAUUGUUGUCCAACAACAUGAUUGAUAAGACAUGAUUCCCGUACCACUCAGGAGCAGUACGUGCCCUUGUCUACCUAUGAGGUCCGAUAGCAACUUGAUAUGAAGUUUCAUGAUCAUCAUCAUUAGCUUCCUCUUCAACUGGUAUAGCCUCGACAUAAACUUCUUUCUGUACUGCACCACCAUCUGGUUGAAGCAAAGGUUCUACAACCUCAUCAAGUUCUAUCUUCCUCCCACUCAAUUCUUUCGAGAGAAACUCUUUCUCAAAAAAAGCUCCAUUCUUAGGGACAAACACUUUGCCCUGGGAUAGUAGGUAUAAGGUAUACCCAACUAUCUAUUUUAGGUAACCUAUGAAGACACACUUUUCCGCUUUGGGUUCUAGCUUUUCAAGCUGAAGCUUUUUUUAUAUAAGCAUCACAUCCCCAAACUUUAAGAAACGAAAACUUUCGCUUCUUGCCAUACCACAGUUCAUAUGGUGUCGUCUCAAUGGAUUUUGAUGGUGCCCUCUUUAAAGUGAAUGUUGUUGUCUCCAAUGCACAGCCCCAAAACGAUAACGACAAAACGGUAAGAGACAUCAUAGAACGCACCAUAUCUAAUAAAGUACGAUUACAACGUUCGGACACACCAUUACGUUGUGUUGUGCCAGGCGGUGUCAACUAUGAAACAAUUCCAUAUUGUCUUAAGUGAGCACCAAACUCGUAACCGAGAUACUCACCUCCUCGAUCACAUCAUAGGAAUUUGAUAUUCUUCUUACAAUGAUUCUCAACUUCACUAUGAAAUUUGAUCUUCUCUGACAUAAAUGAGUAACCAUCUCACAAUAAACAAGAUCCAGAUAUAAUGUUCAUGCUUAACGCAGGCACUAAAUAACAUUUAUUUAGAUUCUUCACUAAUCCCGAUGGUAAAAGAAGUGAGAUCGUGCCGACGGCGAUCGCAUCAACCCGAACCAUUUCCCACGCGCAUCGUCACUUCAUCCUUCGCCAGCCUUCGUUUAUUCUGCAUUUCCUGUUUCGAGUUGCAAAUAUGAGCAAUAGAACCGGUAUCAAAUAUCCAGGCACUACUCUGAGAGUUGGUGAGGUAUGUAUCAAUAAUAUGUAUAUCAAAUAUACCUUGUUUGGCGUUGGCCGCAUUCUUAUCGGCCAGAUACUUGGGACAGUUUCGCUUCCACUGACCAGUCCCCUUGCAAUAAUAACACUCAAUUUCCGGCUUUGGUCCAUCCUUGGGUUUCUUCGUCGGAGCGGCAACAGCCUUGCCACUCUUCUUGGAGUUAACCUUCUUGUCGUUGCCGUUUUUCUUGAAACUAGUGGUCUUAUUGACCAUCAACACUUGAUGUUUUUUCUAGAUUUCCGACUCAGCGACUUUCAGCAUCGCAAACAGCUCGGCGAGUGACUUAUUCAUCCCUUGCAUGUUAUAGUUCAACACGAAGCUCUUUUAGCUAGGUGGGAGUGACUGAAGAACUCUCUCAGUGAUAGCCUCUUGCGGGGGAGCAAUUCCUAGCUCAGCUAGACGGUUAGAGUACCCUGGCAUUAUGAGUAUGUGUUCACUGACAGACCCGUUCUCCUCCAUUUUGCAAGCAUAGAGCUUAUCAUAGGUUUCAUACCUCUUGAUCCGGGAAUUCUUCUCAAAGAUAAAGUUCAAUUCCUGGAACAUCUCAUAUGCUCCAUGACGUUCAAAAUGUCUUUGAAGUCCCGGUUCUAAGCCAUAAAAAGCACAUUGAACUAUUGAGUAGUCAUCCUUGCGUGACUGCCAACUGUUCAUAAUGUCUUGGGUCGCCGUUUCGGAUGGUCCAUCACCUAGCGCCGCAUUAAACACAUAUUGCUUUUGGGCAGCCGUGGGGAUAAGCCUUAGGUUACGGACCCAGUCAACAAAGUUACUUCCAUCAUCUUUCAGCUUAGCUUUCUCUAGGAACGCAUUAAAAUUCACGGUUGCUAUUGCGUGAGCUAUUGAUCUACAACAUAAUAUUUUGCAAAUAAUUGAGUUUAGCUAAUCAUAUUACUAAUAAAAUCCCACUCAAAUUGAUAUCCCUCUAGUCAUUCGAGUGUCGCAUGAUCCAAAAUCACUAACUCAAGUCCGAUCAUCACGUGAUUUGAGUUUAGUUUCAAUGGUGAACAUCUCCAUGUUGAUCAUAUGAAUUAUGUGAUUCAUGCAUCAACUUUCAGUCUCUUGUGUUCCGAGGCCAUGUUUGUACAUGCUAGGCUCGUCAAGUUUAUCUUGAGUGUUCCGCAUGUGCAACUGUUUUGCACCCCUAGUAUGUGAACGUAGAGUCUAUCACACCCGAUCAUCAUGUGGUGCCUCGAAAUGACGAACUGUCGACACAGUGCACAGUCGGGGAGAACACAAUUUUAUCUUGAAAUUUUAGUGAGGGGUCACCUUAUAAUGCUACCACCGUCCUAAGUAAAUUGAGGUGCAUAAAAGGAUUAACUUCACAUGCAAAUCAUAAGUGACAUGAUAUGUCCAUGAACUUGUGAUUCUUGAUCUCCAUCACCAAACCACCGACAUGAUCUCCAUCGUCACCGGCGCCACACCAUGAUCUUCAUCAUCGUGCUACCAUUGAGGUUGUCAUGCUAACUAUGUUGUUACUACUAAAGCUACUACUAGCGAUAAAACAAAGCAUCACCAAGUGCAAAAUAAUUAAAGACAACCAUAUGGCUCCUCCCUGUUGUCGUAGCAUCGACGUGCAAGUCGAUAUUUUAUUUAUUACAACAUGAUCAUCUCAUACAUACAAUAUAUCAUAUCAUGUGUUUGGACAUAUCACAUAACAUGCAUACCCUGCAAAAACAAGUUAGACGUCCUCUAAUUUGUUGUUGAAAAUAUUACGUGGCUACUAUGGGUAUCAAGUAUGAUCGUAUCUUACUUACGCAAGGCCACAACAGUGAUAUGCAAAUUUCUAUUUAACCUUCUCCAAGGACCACCUCGGUCAAAUCCGAUUCAUCUAAAGUUGAAGAAACGGACACUUGCCAAUCAUCUUUAUGCAACAAGUUGCAUGUUAGUCGAUGAAACCGGUCUCUUGUAAGCAUACAAGUAAUGUUGGUCUGGGCCGCUUUAAUCCAACAAUACCGCUGAAUCAAGAAAAGACUAAGGAGGGCAGCAAAUUGAACAUCAACGCCCACAAACUCUUUUGUGUUCUACUCGAGAUAUCAUAUAUGCAUGAACCUAGCUCAUGAUGCCACUGAGGGGGAACGUUGCAUGGGAAACAAAAAAAAUUCCUACGCACAUGCAAGACCUAUCAUGGUGAUGAUCAUAUAGGAGAGGGGAGUUCAGAUCCACCUACCCUUGUAGAUCUCUAAGCGGGAAGCGUUAAGAAACACGGUUGAUGUAGUUGAACGUCUUCGCGAUCUGAAUCGCAAGCGUCCCACGAACUACGUCCCGAUCUAGUACCAAACGGACGACGCCUACGCGUUCAACACACGUAUAGCUCGAUGACGAUCUCCGCCUUCUUGAUCCAGCAAGAGAAACAAAGAGGUAGCUGAAUUCUCCGGGAGCACGACGGCAUGGCGGUGGAGCUACUCCGGCAGGGCUUCGUCGUGCCGUACCGAAUUAGCUAUGGGGUAACAAGAAGUGGUGGAGGGAGAGAGGACUUCACUAUGGCUUGGGGUGCCAAAAGCCUCUCAAACCUCCACUAUACAUAGGUGGAACAAGGGGGAGGGUUGCCUUGCCUCCUACUCAAAGUAGGAGGGUUUGGCCAAGCCAAGGGGAGUCCUCCUCCUUAGUUUCGGUUUGGUAGAGGACUCCCUUCACACUUGUCCAACUCGGGGGGCUAUAAUUUGGCCUUUUGCCAAAAUAGGUUAUUGGCCUGGCCUCAUCAACCCACUAAGGGAUGGUGUGCCACCCAUAGGCCUAUUAGGUCCUCUCCCGGGUGAGUGGCCCCUCCCGGUAAAACAUCAGAACCCAUUCGUCACUCUCGGUACUUCACCGAUAAUGCCCGAAAUCAUUCCGAAAGCCAAAUGCAACAUUCCUAUAUAUCAAUCUUUGUUUCUAGAUCAUUUUGGAAACCCUCGCGACAUUCGGGAUCUCAUUCGGGACUCCGAACAACAUUCGGUUACCAGCAUCAACAAUUCAACUAUACUGAAAACGUCACCGAACCUUAAGUGUGCAGACCCUGUGGGUUCGAGAACUAUGUACACAUGACCGAGACACUCUUCGGUCAAUAACCAAUAGCGGGACCUGGAUGCCUAUAUUGGAUCCUACAUAUUCUACAAAGAUCCUAACGGUUGACCUCUAUGUCAAGGAUUCAGUUAAUCCCGUAUAAUAUUUACUUUGUCCUUUGGUAUGUUACUUCCCCGAGAUUCAAUCGUCGGUAUCUCUAUACCUAUUUCAAUCUCCACUACUAGGAAAACCUUAUAGGCAGGACCUUCGUAGUAGAGCUGGAAAAACAAAAAUGCCGCUGCUAAUUAGCAGUAGCGCUGAUCCAGUCAAGCGCUACUACUAACACCUUAGCAGUAGCGCUGCUUAUCAAAAAAGCGUUACUGCUAUGUGGGACCAGACGAUGCCACCGAUGGUAGUUUUAGUAGCAGCGUUGCCCAAAAUCCAGCGCUACUUCUAAGUGGUUCGCGGUAGCAAUUUGUGUUGCAGCACCGCUGCUACUAGUGCCCCACUUAGUAGUACCGUUGCCAAAAUUGCAGUGCUACUGCUAUUUUUAACACCCCCCCCGGUGGACCGUCUUGUUUAGUUUUCUAGAAAAUAAAAAAAAUGAUAAAAUCUUCAAAAAAUAAAAUCCUUUGAGAUGUAGUUAGGUUUUAGUGCCUAGUUGGUAUACAAAUUUUGAAAUAUGAAUUUUGACCAUUUUUCAAAAAAAGGGGGGAAAUAUAAAACGGCCAUAACUUUUGCAUACGACAUCGAAAAAAAAGUACUGCCGGAGAUUUCAACUACGUCUUCGUCUCUCUUGCUCGAUCAAGAAGGCGGAGAUCGUCAUCGAGUUGUAUGUGUGCUGAACGCGGAGGUGUCGUCCGUUUGGUACUAGAUCGGGACGCAGUUCAUGGGACGCUUGCGAUUCAGAUCGCAAAGACGUUCGACUACAUCAACCGCGUUUCUUAACGCUUCCCGCUUAGAGAUCUACAAGGGUAUGUGGAUCCAAACUCCCCUCUCCUGUAUGAUCGUCAUCGUGAUAGGUCUUGCAUGUGCAUAGGAAAUUUUUUGUUUCCCAUGCAACGUUCCCCCUCAGUGGCAUCAUGAGCUAGGUUCAUGCAUAGAUGAUAUCUCGAGUAGAACACAAAAGAGUUUGUGGGCGUUGAUGUUCAAUUUGCUUCCCUCCUUAGUCUUUUCUUGAUUCAGCGAUAUUGUUGGAUUGAAGUGGCCCAGACCAACAUUACUCGUAUGCUUACGAGAUACCAUUUUCAUUGACUAACACCCAACUUGUUGCAUAAACAUGACUGGCGGGUGUCUGUUUCUUCAACUUUAGAUUAAUCGGAUUUGAACGAGGCGGUACUUGGAGAAGGUUAAAUAGCAAGGCUUUGCGUAAGUUAGAUGCAAUCAUACUAGAUACCCAUAGCAUCCAUGUAAAAUUUUCAACAACAAAUUAGAGGAUGUCUAACUUGUUUUUGCAGGGUAUGCAUGUCAUGUGAUAUGGCCAAUGACAUGAUAUGAUAUAUUGGAUGGAUGAGAUGAUCAUGUUGUAACAGUUAAAUAUCGACUUGCUCGUCGAUGCUAUGGCAACUGACAGGAGCCAUAGGGUUGUCUUUAAUUAUUUUGCGCUUGGAGAUGCUUUUCUUUAUCGCUAGUAGUAGCUUUAGUAGUAACAACAUAGUUAGCGCGACAACCUCGAUGGUGGCACGAUGAUGGAGAUCAUGGUGUAGCGCCGAUGACGACGGAGAUCAUGUUGGUGCUUUGGUGAUGGAGAUCAAGAAGCAUAAGUUCAUGGUCGUAUCAUGUCACUUUUGAUUUGCAUGUGAUGUUAUUACUUUUAUGCACCUUAUUUUUCUUAGGACGACGGUGGCAUUAUAAGGUGAUCCCUCACUAAAAUUUCAAGAUAAAAUUGUGUUCUCACCGACUGUGCACCAUUGCACAGUUCGUUGUUUCGAGACACCGCGUGAUGAUCGGGUGUGAUAGACUCUACGUUCACAUACUACGGGUGCGAAAAAGUUGCACACGCGGAACGGAACACUCGGGUUAAACUUGAAGAGACUAGCAUGUACGGAGAUGACCUCGUAACACAAGACAUCAAAAGGUUAAGCAUGAAUCAUAUAGUUGAUAUGAUCAACAUGGAGAUGUUCACCAUUGAAACUAUACUCAACUCACGUGAUGAUCAGACUUGAGUUAGUGAAUUUGGAUCAUGCGACACUCGGAUGACUAGAGGGAUGUCAAUUUGAGUGGGAUUUUAUUAGUAAUAUGAUUAGCUAAACUCAAUUGUAUUGAAUGUAGUCUAAGUAAUCUUUGCAAAAUUUUAUGUUGUAGAUCAAUGGCUCACGUAGUAGCAACCCUGAAUUUUAAUGUGUUCCUAGAGAAAUCUAAGAUGAAAGAUGACGAAAGCAACUUUGUUGACUGGGCUCGUAAUCUAAGGCUUAUCCUCAUGGCUGGCCAAUAGCAAUAUCUCCUUGAUGCACCGCUAGGUUAUGCACCUGAUACGUCCCAAGCGUAUCUAUAAUUUCUGCUUGUUCCAUGAUCUUUUGGGUGACAUUGUUAUAUGUUUUGCUACACUUCUAUAUCUUUUUACACAUAUUUGGACUAACCUACUAACUCAGUGCACCCAGUGCCAGUUUCUGUCUGCUGAUGUCUUUUUUGCACGGGCUUUUACCCAAUUUUCCGGAGCCCAAAAAUCCCGAGAAAAAUAUAUAAACAUCAGCGUAACGAAAGCUUCCGGAUCACCAAAGAUGGGCCAGAGGGGGCCAGGGGCUGCCCAGGCGACCUCCCGGUGCGGCCUGGCCCCUGGCCGCGCCCACAGGCCGCCUGGGUGGGCCCCACCUACAUUUACUCCUUCGAGAGGAAACCCUUCCGUCAUAUCCAGAAUCGUGAAUUUCUCCAUCGUUCCACCACCACAGCACUUCCGGGAUCCGGAGCGUCAGGAGACCUCUUCCCGGCACCCUGCCGGAGGGAGGAUUGACCUUCGGGAGCUUCUCCACCACCAUGGACGCUUCUCGGACGUGCCGUGAGUAGUCCUCCUUGGACCAUGAGUCCAUGACCAGUAGCUAUGUGAUGUAUUCUCUCCAAUCUUGUGCUUCAAUGAUUAGCCCUUGUGAGCUGCCCUACAUGAUCAAGGCAUCUAUGUAAUUUUCAUGCUAUUGCUAUGCUCGGUUUGUUGGGAUCCGAUGGAUUAUGAGAUUAUUUUCAUAUUGUUAUGAGUUAUAUAUUUGAUUAUCCUUUUAUAUUAUGCUCUUUAGUGAUUCAUGCAUGUUCUCUGUUGCUUUGUAUUGAUUUGGCCGAGUAGUAGAUUGUAACUCCAAGAGGGAGCGUUAUGCAUGAUUGUGGGUUCAUGCCCCCUGAUGUCUAGCUUGAGUGACAGAAACAUGGGACUAGGGUAUGUGUUGUUGCCACCAGGGAGAAAACAACGGUGCUUGUGACCAUGGUUGCAAGGAUUGUUUACCUUACACAUGGUUCGUUAAUGCAGUUGUUCGUUGCUUUGAGUUUACACUUUGGAUGGGGCUCGCAACUUAAUACCGGCGAGAUAUUCUGGAUAUAUAUCUCAAGGUGGAUGAUUAGUAAGUAGAUGUUGAUGAAUAAACGGUCUACUUGUCUUGGCGUACUGCCAAGUACUAUUGAGCCUCUAACUUUCAAGUAGUAUAAUUAGCAUUGCGGUGCGUUUAUAAUUCUGUCAAUUGCCGAGCUGUAAUUUGUUUACCCAAGCAUAGUUGUUUAUCGUAUUUUGGGAGAGAGAUAUCACUAGUGAACAUCAAGUGACUCCGGUCCAUAUCACCACCAUUGCUUAGACCUCCAUCAUUUACUGCUUUCAUUCACUGUUCCGUUGCAAUCACUAUCACUAUUCCCGCUUGUGUUUUGAUCCUUUGCAAACUAGAAGUCGGGAGAGAUUGACAACCUCUUUGUACUUGUUGGGAGCAAAGUUAUUUGUGUGUGUGCAGGUCCACGUCUUCUGCUAGCGCCAGGGCAGGGGACACCUACUUGUUGAUCCUCGGAGUCACUUGAUGUUCGAUAACCUUACAGUCUUCGUGUAAGGGAAAACUUGCUGCUGACUACAUCCCCACCUUCCACUUGGGGUAACCAAUGAGGGGCGAGAAGUAUAUUCAUCAAGUCGUCAUUAAGCAUGUUUUCUCGCGCCGUUGCCGGGGAACUCCAGUCUUCAAGAUAGGGGAGUUGCAUGCUAUCUUUUACUUUUGCUUUUUAGUCUUGCCCCCCCCCCCCCCCCCCCGCUUUAGAGUCUUAUACCAAAAUCCAAAAAAUAAGUUGUUUUGUUCUUGCUUGUUGCUGCUGCUAUGGGUUCCACUGAGAACACCAAGUUGUGUGACUUCACUAGUCACAACAACAAUGACUUUAUCUGCACUCCUAUUGCUGCUCCCGGCACUGGGCUACGUCCUAUGAGAUUAAACCUGCUUUACUAAACCUUGUUAUGAAAGAUCAAUUCUCCGGUGCUGGAGAUGAUGUUGCUUUCCACCUGAACAAUUUUGUUGAGCUUGGUGAUAUGCAAAAAUAUAAAGAAGUAGAUGAUGAUAUUGUUAAACUUAAUAUUUUUUCCUUUUUCCUUGAGAGGAGGAGCUAAAGUGUGGCUUCAAUCUUUGCCUAGGAAUAGCAUAGAUUCUUGGGAUAAGUGCAAAGAUGCUUUUAUUGGGAAGUAUUACUCGCCUGCUAAGAUUAUCCAGUUAAGAAGUAACAUUAUGAAUUUUAGGUAGCUGGAUAAGGAACACGUUGCUCAAGCUUGGGAACGUAUGAAAUCUCUUGUUAAGAUUUGCCCUACACAUGGUUUGACUACUUGGAUGGUUAUCCAAACUUUCUACGCUGGAUUGAACUUUACCUCAUGGAAUCUGUUAGACUUGGUCGCGGGAGGAACCUUUAUGUCAACUACACUUGGUGCUGCCACAAAGCUAUUGGAUGAGAUGAUGACAAGGUAUUCUCAAUGGGACACCGAGAGAUCUCAAACAGGUAGGAAGAUAAACUCUGUUGAGGAGAUCUCCUCCCUUAAUGAUAAGGUUGACAUGAUCAUGACUUUACAUACUAAGCAAGCUCCUAUUGAUCCUCAUGAUGUUCCUUUAAAUUAUUUGGUUGCUCAAGAAAGAGAGCAAGUUGAUGUUAAUUUUAUUUCUAGGAACAACUUUAACAAUAUUGCUUAUAGGAGUGAUUUUGGUAGCAAUCCUAGACCUUUCCCAUCCAACAACUAUGGGAACAACAACACCUAUAGUUACACUCCUAAUGAUAGAAGAAUACCUAGUUGUGAAAAACUUUUAGAGAUAGAGAAGGCUACAAAGAAUUAUAUGCACUCCCAAUAUGAACAAAAUAAGGCCUUCUCUAGACAAUCAGAUGAGCAUUCUUAUAUUUUGCAAAACAUUGGAAGACAACUUGAGAGCCUGAAUAGUGAGAUUUCCAAUCUCCAAACUAGACUCACCACCAUGGAGACCCAAGUCUCCAAUAUGUCUCACACACAGGCCACUUUGAUAAAUCAAAUGGCGGCCAAACCCAAAGUGGUUGUAUCUAAAGAAGAGGAAGAUAGGAUUAAGAGCCUUCCUACACACACUACCAUUGCUGCUAUACAAGUUGUUGAGGAUCUCUAAACUUUUAGCACCCAUCACACCCCUAGUCCCAAUGGUCCUAUUAAUAGUGAUGCUAAUACCUCAACUAUAGGACAAGAAGGUCCUUUGAAUUUAGAGACUACCAAAAGAAUGAGCUUAGAUGACAUUACUACCACUUUAAUUAAUGGUAGUAACCUUGAUUUUGACAGUUGUAGUCUUUCCGAAGUUAUCACUUUUUUUGGAAAGAAUGGCUAAAGAUCCCCACACUAGUACACUCAAUAUUGCCUUCACCAAGCAUAUUACCAAUGCUCUUAUCAAAGAUAGGUAGGAGAAGCUCAAGCUAGAUACUUCUAUUCCUAGGAAACUAGAAGAUGGUUGGGAUCCUAUUGUCAAGAUUAAAUUGAAUAAUAUCUCUUGCUUUGCUUUAUGUGAUGUUGGAGCUAGUGCCUCCUUUAUGCCCAAAAGAAUCUAUGGUAUGCUUGAUUUUAAACCUUUUGAUCCAUGUUCUUUUGGUGUUCGUCUUGUUAAUUCUUCCAUAAAGAAACCUUUAUGGAGAAUUGAUGAUAUUCUUAUUGUUGUCAAUGAUAAUUAUGUGCCCGUUGAUUUUCUUAUUAUGGACAUUGAGUGUGAUCCUUCAUGUCCAAUUAUUUGCCCAUUGGUGCUAACAUUGACAUGAAAGAAGGGACCAUUAGAUUCCAAUUUCCUCUUAAAAAGGGAAUGGAACACUUCCCUUGAAAGAAGAUUAAGUUACCUUAUGAGUCUGUUAUUCGGGCAAGUUAUUCUUAUGGAGUUGAUAACACUUGAUCUUUUUGCAUCAUGCCUAGCUCAAAGUCAUAAAAGAAAGCGCUUGUUGGGAGGCAACCCAAUUUGUUUUUUUACUUUCAGUUUUAAUGGUCUUGAUGCUUGUUACUACUGUAGCAACAUCAUUGUAUUUUUAUUUUCAAGCUUUGUGCCAAGUUUUAGCCUCCGAUUGCAAGAAAGUUCAAAAGUUGUGACACGCUGUCCAGAAACAGAUUCUGUCUGCUUGACGGAAAAAUUCGCCAAAAAUCACCAGAUCACCUUUUUCAUCUGAAUUUUUUAACACCAUGUUAUAUAUAAUUUUAUUUCUCACAUAUGUAUGAGUUUUUUAUUUGAGUUGUAGAAGUGCCCCGAAAAAAUUAUUUGCUACCUGUUGGUCUGCUUUUCACAUAUUCUGCUACGUUUUGCGUUUUCAUCAUUUUGCAAAUCUUAAGCUUGCUUUUCCUUUGCAAAAUCUUUUGGAAAUCAUGAGAAACAGUAGAUUUUCAUGAAAAUAUUAUUUCCAGUAGGUAAUGAAUUAUUUUAUCAUGGGUACUAACCACUCUAAUCAGCUUAUGAUGAGUUUCGUAUGAAGGGAGUUUUCAAGUAUGCGAUGGAAGAUGAUGAAAGAAGAUCCAGGAGUGUUAAGCGCUCAAGAUUGGGGAUGCCCCCAUAAACCUCCAAUAAAUAUUCAAGGAGACUCAAGCAUCUAAGCUUGGGGAUGCCCCCGUGCAUCCCCUUCUCUAUCAACAAUCAUCAGUUUGUGCACCUCCAUGCUAUAUUUUUAUCACUUCAUAUGUCAUGUGCUAUGCUUGGAGUGUCUCUCUCUUUAAUUUUUAGUUUGUUUUAGUUUUUUUUCUGUUCAUAACAAGUCGGAACCUAGCCUACCUUGUUUGGGAGAGAAACACACUCCAUUCCACUCUAGAACACAACAUAUGUUUUCAUGCUUAUCUUUUUUGUGUGUUCUCUAUCUUUACAUAGCUAUUGUCAUGCUUAGCUCUUAUUUUUCAUGCUAUAUAUUUUUAAUAGCUUUUAUUUAGGUUUCUUUUGGAACUCUCUUGAGUUAUGAUGCUUAUCUUGUUUAGAGAGUUGGCUCGUUGCACUGAGUUGUGUGUCUUCCAUGAGUAGGUAAUUGAGGUUGCUAUUUAAGUAUAGUAGUAACUUGCAAUAGUUUUGAGGUAUUGAUUUGAGUAAUGUUUGGACUAUCGGUGCCAAGGGCUUGAGCCUAUUAGUGAUAGGUGUCGUAUUUUGGGAAAUCCGUGUGUUUUCAAAAACUAAAAAUUAGUUGAGAACUCUAACUACUAAAUUGAUCAAUAACCUCUGGAGGGGUUGGAAUAUAUAGAGUACCCUCACGUUACCAUGGGUCGAGGAUGCGCAAGGAUAACCAAACCCCCAAACACUCCUCCUCGGGGUACUUGUCUCUUUGUGAAUUUCCUAACUAGAUAGAGAGUUACCGAUAAUAAGUGUAUGAGAUCUUCAGACUAAUGCGAGUAUUCAAUUGUUGGCAUUUCCACCAUCCAUAUUUUGCUAGCCUCUUCGGUACCGUGCAUUACCCUUUCUCAUCUUGACAGUUGGUGCAAACUUCGCCGGUGCAUCCAAACCCUUGGCAUGAUACGCUCUGUCAUCAUAAGCCUCAUUAUAUCUUUCCUCAAAAUAGCCACCAUACCUACCUAUUAAGGCAUUCCCAUAGCCUUUCCGAGAUACAUUGCCAUGCAACAUCCACCAUCUCAUGACUUGAUCUUCAUGUCAUACAUGCUUUGGCUUGAUCGAGGAGCCACAUGCUAGUUGGGCCUUGCCCUUAUUAUUGCUACAUGACGCGCUAGUUUCAUUGCAUAUCCUGCUACACUAACACAUGCAUACAUUUGCAUACAUUAUGAUAGUUUUCAUUUUUCUUUGUGUUGAGUACUUCUUAUAAAGUGUGAUGAUCUUCUUUUUAUUCUUCUAGAACAUAGAGUGUUGCCCUUAAGUGAGGAAAAGAUCCCAAAUAGGACAAAUGAAAAGAUCCCAAAGAGGACAAAUGAGAGAUAAAUAGAAAGAGCUAAAGAGGCCACAAAAAAUAAAAAUAAAAGNNNNNNNNNNNNNNNNNNNNNNNNNNNNNNNNGGCAACACUACUAUUCCUUUUGAAAGAUCUACACUCGUACUCCAUUACUAUAUUUGUACUACAUAGAGAUUAUCAUUCAUGCAUAACUAUGUGGGGACCCUUACACUAUAGAACUUGGCUUGCAUAUUCCAGUGAUGAGCCUCCUCAAAUGAGCUCUAUGUCUUCAUGAGGAAGCAAGUUGGAUGCACCCCCACAAGUUCCAUUUGAGAGCUUUCCUUAGCUCAUAUGUGCAUCCGUUGCAUGGAGACAUUCGAGUCACGGACAGAGAGAGCUCUUGCACCUUUAUGUUCUUACUUUGCUAAUUUCAAUACUAAAUAUAGGUUCUUGCUUGUUAAUGUCUUGACUUGAAUUGCAUAUCUCACUUACUUUACUUUGAAGUUCUUAUAUGUGUGUUAGCAUGUCACCACAAAAAUUAUUUGUGUUAUCAUUUACCUACUCCAGGGCGAGCAGGAAUUAAGCUUGGGGAUGUUGAUACGUCCCAAACGUAUCUAUAAUUUCUGCUUGUUCCAUGAUCUUUGGGUGACAUUGUUAUAUGUUUUGCUACACUUUUAUAUCUUUUUACACAUAUUUGGACUAGCCUACUAACUCAGUGAACCCAGUGCCAGUUUCUGUCUGUUGAUCUUUUUUUGCAGGGGAUUUUACCCAAUUUUCCGGAGCCCCAAAAAUCCCGAGAAAAAUAUAUAAAAAUCAGCGUAACGGAAGCUUCCAGAUCACCAAAGAUGGGCCACAGGGGGGCCAGGGGCUGCCCAGGCGACUUCCCGGCACGGUCUGGCCCCUGGUCGCGACCACAGACCUCCUGGGUGGGCCCCACCUCUUCUAACACCCUCGUUUGGCCUAUAUUUACUCCUCCGAGAGGAAACCCUUCCAUAAUAUCCAGAAUCGAGAAUUUCUCCAUCGUUCCACCGCCGCAGCGCUUCCGAGAUCGGGAGCGUCAGGAGACCUCUUCCCGGCACCCUUCCGGAGGGAGGAUUGACCUCCGAGAGCUUCUCCACCACCAUGAACGCUUCCCGGACAUGCCAUGAGUAGUCCUCCUUGGACCAUAAGUCCAUGACAAGUAGCUAUGUGAUGUCUUCUCUCCAAUCUUGUGCUUCAAUGAUUAGCCCUUGUGAGAUGCCCUACAUGAUCAAGGCAUCUAUGUAAUUUUAAUGCUAUUGCUAUGCUUGGUUUGUUGGGAUCUGAUGGAUUAUGAGAUUAUGUUCAUAUUGUUAUGAGUUAUAUAUUUUAUUAUCCUUUCACAUUAUGUUCUUCAGUGAUUCAUGCAUGUUCUCUGUUGCUUUGUAUUGAUUUGGCCGAGUAGUAGAUUGUAACUCCAAGAGGGAGCAUUAUGCAUGAUUGUGGGUUCAUGCCCCCUGAUGUCUAGCUUGAGUGAUAGAAACAUGAGACUAGGGGAUGUGAUGUUGCCACCAAGGAGAAAAGAACGGUGCUUGUGACCACGGUUGCAAGGAUUGUUUACCUUACGCAUAGUUCGUUAAUGCAGUUGUCCGUUGCUUUGAGUUUACACUUUGGGUGGGACUCGCAACUUAAUACCAGCGAGAUGUUCUUGAGAGAUAUCUCAAGGUGGAUGAUUAGUAAGUAGAUGCUGAUCAAUAAACGGUCUACUUGUCUUGGUGUACUGCGCAUUAUUAUUGAGCCUCUAACUUUCAAGUAUCAUAAUUAGCAUUGCGGUGCAUUUAUAAUUCUGUCAAUUGCCCAGCUGUAAUUUGUUUACCCAAUCAUAGUUGUUUAUUGUGUUUUGGGAGACAGACAUCACUAGUGAACAUCAUGUGACUCCGGUCCAUAUCACCACCAUUGCUUACACCUCCAUCAUUUACUGCUUUCAUUUACUUUUCCUUUGCAAUCACUAUCACUAUUCCCGCUUGUGUUUUGAUCCUUUGCAAACUACAAGGCCGGAGAGAUUGACAACCUCUCUGUACUCGUUGGGAGCAAAGUUAUUUGUGUGUGUGCAAGUCCAUGUCUUCUGCUUGCGCCAGGGUAGGGGAUGCCUACUUGUUGAUCCUCGGAGUCCUCCUGGUUCGAUAACCUUACAGUCUCCAUCUAAGGGAAACCUUGCUGCUGACUACAUCUCCACCUUCCACUUGGGGUAACUAACGAGGGGUGAUAACCCACAAGUGUAGGGGAUCGCAACAGUUUUCCUUGGUAGAGUAUUCAACCCAAAUUUGUUGAUUCGACUCAAGGGGAAGCGAAAGAAUAUUCUCAAGUUUUAGCAGCUGAGUUUGUCAGAUUCAACCACACGUGAAAGAUUAGUGUCUGCAAGCAAAGUAUCAGUAGAAAAGUAGUAUGAUAGCAACAGUGUCAGAAAAAGAUCUGUUGACGGCUGACUGGCACUCUCUGGCAAUAGCUAGACGAAUGUUGAUUCUGUAACAACAGACCUUCCACUGCAACGAAACUGGAAGAAUGUUGUUGAUGGCCCACCAGCGCGUGGGUUCGCAGCAGUUUUUGAGGGUAGAGUACUCGACCCAAAUUUGUUGAUCGACAAAGAGGAGGUGAGAGAAUACUCUCGAGUAUUAGCAGCUGAAUGUGUCAGAUUCAACUACACCUGAAAGAUUAGUAUCUGCAAGCAAAGUAGUAACAGCAAAGUUGCGAGUAACGGCAGUGGCAAGGAACAACAGUAGUGACAACAAUAGCAAGUAGCAACAGAGCAAGCGACAAUAGUAACAGUAGUAGCAGUAGAGCAAGACAAGCAACAGCAGCAGAGCAAGACAAGUGACAGCAGUAGUAGGACAAACUCGUAGGCAAUGGGUCGGUGAUUUGUUUGGACGAUAUUCAUCAUGCAACAGUUAUAACACGGAGAGAUAUGUGGCUAGCUCCCGUUCGUUAAUGUGAUGUAGGCAUGCAUUCUGUGUGUCGUCAUACGUGCUUAGGGAAAAGAACUUGCAUGACAUCUGUUGUCCAUCCCUCCCGUGGAAGCGGGGUCCAAAAGGAAACUACGGGAUAUUAAGGUUCUCCUUUUAAUAAAGAACCGGACCAACGCAUUAGCACUUGGUGAACACAUGAACUCCUCAAACAAUGGUCAUCACCGGGAGUGGUUCCGGUAAUUGUCACUCCGGGGUUGCUAGACCAUAACACAUAGUAGGUAACUACAACUUGCAAGAUCAGAUCUAAAACACACAUAUGUUGGUGACAACAUAAUAAUUUCAGAUCUUAAAUCAUGGCACUCGGGCCCUAGUGACAAGCAGUAAGCAAGGCAAAGUAGUAGCAACAUCAAUCUCAGAACAUAGUGGAUACUAGGGAUCAAUCCCCAUCAAAAGUAACUCGAUUACAUGAUAGAUCUCAUCCUACUCAUCACCGCCCAGCGAGCCUACGAAUAGAUUACUCACGAACGACGAAGAGCUUCAUGGAAUUGAAGUGGGAAGAAGGUUGAUGAUGACGAUGGCGAUGAUUUCCCCUCUCCGGAGCCCAAAACGGACUCCAGAUCUGCCCUCCAGAUGAAGAACAGGUUGUGGGGGCGCCUCCGUAUCGCAAACAUGAUGAAAUCUUCUCUUUUUAUUUUUUCUGGGACGAAAGUGAACUUAUAGAGCUGAGCUUGGGGGCAGCAGAGCCACGUGGGCCCCACAAACUUGCCCACCGCCACCAGGGGGUGGCGGUGGCAGGGCUUGUGGCCCACUGGGCCACCCCCUCAGGUGGAUCUUUGCGUAGGUAUUUUUCAUAUUUUCCAAAAAUGUUCCCCGUAACUUUUCAGGACGUUCUGAGAACUUUGAUUUCUGCACAAAAAUAACACCAAGGCAAUUCUGCUGAAAACAGCGUUAGUCCAGGUUAGUUCCAUUCAAAUCAUGCAAAUUAGAGUCCAAAACAAGGGCAAAAGAGUUUGGAAAAGUAGAUACGAUGGAGACGUAUCAACUCCCCCAAGCUUAAAACCUUGCUUGUCCUCAAGCAACUCAGUUGACAAACUGAGAGAGAAAGAAAAACUUUGAAAAACUCUGUUUGAUCUUGUUGUUGCAACUAUGUCUAACUCAUAACCAGAAUUUCAGUAAGAUCACAAGUUAACCACAUAAGCAAGUGACACAAAGGUCUCACGGUAAACUAAUAUCAAUGGCAUAAUCAGCUAACGAGCAAAUAAUAAUGAGUUUCAAAUACCAACACUUCAAUCAAAACAAGCAUGAAGCAAUAUGAAUAGGUGGUAUCUCGCUAGCUCUUUGUGAGACCACAAAACAUUAAUGCAGAGUACUUUCAAAGAUCAAGGGCUGACUAAACAUUGUAACUCAUAGCAACGAAGAUCCAGUCAUAGUCAUACUCAAUAUCAAUCAAAAGCAAAGCAUAAAAAUGACAGAGUUGCUCUAUAAUUGGUGCUUAUAUAAGAAGAGGAUGACUCGAAAGGAAAAGUAAUAGACAGGCCCUUUGCAGAGGGAAGCAUUGAUUUGCAGAGGUGCCACAGCUCAAGCUUUGAAAACAGAGAUAAUAAUUUUAGGUGGCAUGCUUUGAUUGUCAACGCAAUGACCAGGAGUUCUCAAUAUCUUCCAUGCUACUCAUGCUAUAGGCGGUUCCCAAACAGAAAAGUAAACUUUUAACUCCCCCACCACCAAUCAAUCACAGUCCACGGCUAGCCGAAUCCUCGGGUACCGUCCAUACUAACAUCAAUCCUGGGGGAGUCUUGUUUACAGUUAUGUUUUCGAUUUAAGCGUGGAACUGGGCAUUCCAAUUACCGGCCCCUUUCUCGUGAAUGACAGUGAAUAAACACAUGUUGAGGAUAACACUCCUAGCAUGGAAGAUACCAAUAUCCCUCUGUCACCACAUGAGCGGUUCGGGCAUGCAAAACAGAUUAUUUCUUGAAGGUUUAGAGAAUGGCACAUGCAAAUUUACUUGGAACGGCAGGUAGAUACCGCAAAUAGGUAGGUAUGGUGGACUGUCAUGGAAAAACUUUUGGGUUUAUGGAAGUGGAUGCACAAGCAGUAUUCCGCUUAGUACAAGUGAAGGCUAGCAAAAGACUGGGAAGCGACCAACUAGAGAGCGACAACAGUCAUCAAGAUGCAAUGAGUUUGACUAACAUUGAAUGCAAGAAUGAACAGGAUAUAAAUCACUAUGAACACAAACAUCAUAGAGGCUAUGUUGAUUUUGUUUCAACUACAUGCAUGAACAUGCGCCAAGUCAAGCUACUUGAAUCAUUCAAAGGAGAAUACCAUCCUAUCAUACUACAUCAUAGUCAUCUCAAAAUAUAUGUUGGCAUUCAAGACAAACCAUUAUAAACUCUCAGCUAAAUAAGCAUGGCAUCAGAAACUAUGAUCUCUAAGUUGUCAUUGCAAACAUGGUUCUCUCACAACAAAGUUGAAUGUGGGUCGACAAGCUAGUCAUAUUUACAAAAACAAAAUAGAUAGAGUUCAUACCAGCUUUUUAGUCUCAGUCAGUUCAUUAUAUAUCAUAAUUAUUGCCUUUCACUUGCACGAUUGAACGAUGUGAACAAUAAUAAGAGUGCUCGUGCAUUGGACUAAGCUAAAUCUGCAGGCAAACACAAAG